Molecule: transfer RNA, 29 nt
Filed under: Nymphoides indica
Lineage: Eukaryota; Viridiplantae; Streptophyta; Magnoliopsida; Asterales; Menyanthaceae
Description: partial tRNA-Leu
Source: RNAcentral
ACUUAAAAUCCGUCGAUUUUCAAAAUCGG